This 76-nucleotide transfer RNA is filed under the name Candidatus Kryptonium thompsonii. RNAcentral's name for it is "Candidatus Kryptonium thompsoni tRNA_Cys_GCA". It matches the Rfam family "tRNA". From Rfam's summary of the family: Transfer RNA (tRNA) molecules are approximately 80 nucleotides in length. Their secondary structure includes four short double-helical elements and three loops (D, anti-codon, and T loops). The record is from RNAcentral. Lineage: Bacteria; Pseudomonadati; Candidatus Kryptoniota.
GGCGACGUACCCAAGUGGCUAAGGUGGCGGUCUGCAAAACCGCUAUUCCUGGGUUCGAAUCCCAGCGUCGCCUCAA